GACGAACGCUGGCGGCGUGCCUAAUACAUGCAAGUCGAGCGAGCGGAACUAACAGAUUUACUUCGGUAAUGACGUUAGGAAAGCGAGCGGCGGAUGGGUGAGUAACACGUGGGGAACCUGCCCCAUAGUCUGGGAUACCACUUGGAAACAGGUGCUAAUACCGGAUAAGAAAGCAGAUCGCAUGAUCAGCUUUUAAAAGGCGGCGUAAGCUGUCGCUAUGGGAUGGCCCCGCGGUGCAUUAGCUAGUUGGUAAGGUAAAGGCUUACCAAGGCGAUGAUGCAUAGCCGGGUUGAGAGACUGAUCGGCCACAUUGGGACUGAGACACGGCCCAAACUCCUACGGGAGGCAGCAGUAGGGAAUCUUCCACAAUGGACGCAAGUCUGAUGGAGCAACGCCGCGUGAGUGAAGAAGGUUUUCGGAUCGUAAAGCUCUGUUGUUGGUGAAGAAGGAUAGAGGUAGUAACUGGCCUUUAUUUGACGGUAAUCAACCAGAAAGUCACGGCUAACUACGUGCCAGCAGCCGCGGUAAUACGUAGGUGGCAAGCGUUGUCCGGAUUUAUUGGGCGUAAAGCGAGCGCAGGCGGAAGAAUAAGUCUGAUGUGAAAGCCCUCGGCUUAACCGAGGAACUGCAUCGGAAACUGUUUUUCUUGAGUGCAGAAGAGGAGAGUGGAACUCCAUGUGUAGCGGUGGAAUGCGUAGAUAUAUGGAAGAACACCAGUGGCGAAGGCGGCUCUCUGGUCUGCAACUGACGCUGAGGCUCGAAAGCAUGGGUAGCGAACAGGAUUAGAUACCCUGGUAGUCCAUGCCGUAAACGAUGAGUGCUAAGUGUUGGGAGGUUUCCGCCUCUCAGUGCUGCAGCUAACGCAUUAAGCACUCCGCCUGGGGAGUACGACCGCAAGGUUGAAACUCAAAGGAAUUGACGGGGGCCCGCACAAGCGGUGGAGCAUGUGGUUUAAUUCGAAGCAACGCGAAGAACCUUACCAGGUCUUGACAUCUAGUGCCAUUUGUAGAGAUACAAAGUUCCCUUCGGGGACGCUAAGACAGGUGGUGCAUGGCUGUCGUCAGCUCGUGUCGUGAGAUGUUGGGUUAAGUCCCGCAACGAGCGCAACCCUUGUUAUUAGUUGCCAGCAUUAAGUUGGGCACUCUAAUGAGACUGCCGGUGACAAACCGGAGGAAGGUGGGGAUGACGUCAAGUCAUCAUGCCCCUUAUGACCUGGGCUACACACGUGCUACAAUGGGCAGUACAACGAGAAGCGAGCCUGCGAAGGCAAGCGAAUCUCUGAAAGCUGUUCUCAGUUCGGACUGCAGUCUGCAACUCGACUGCACGAAGCUGGAAUCGCUAGUAAUCGCGGAUCAGCACGCCGCGGUGAAUACGUUCCCGGGCCU
Molecule: ribosomal RNA, 1385 nt
Filed under: uncultured bacterium
Lineage: Bacteria
Description: bacterial SSU rRNA
Rfam family: Bacterial small subunit ribosomal RNA
Source: RNAcentral